UGGGGAAUAUUGGACAAUGGGGGCAACCCUGAUCCAGCCAUGCCGCGUGUGUGAAGAAGGCCUUCGGGUUGUAAAGCACUUUCAGUGGUGAGGAAGGGAUGAUGGCUAAUAUCCAUCAUCAUUGACGCUAGCCACAGAAGAAGCACCGGCUAACUCCGUGCCAGCAGCCGCGGUAAUACGGAGGGUGCAAGCGUUAAUCGGAAUUACUGGGCGUAAAGCGCGCGUAGGCGGUUUGAUAAGCGGAGUGUGAAAUCCCCGGGCUUAACCUGGGCACUGCAUUCCGAACUGUCAGGCUAGAGUGCGGUAGAGGGUGGUGGAAUUUCCUGUGUAGCGGUGAAAUGCGUAGAUAUAGGAAGGAACAUCAGUGGCGAAGGCGACCACCUGGACUGACACUGACGCU
This 400-nucleotide ribosomal RNA is filed under the name uncultured bacterium. Its description in RNAcentral is "bacterial SSU rRNA". It matches the Rfam family "Bacterial small subunit ribosomal RNA", at positions 355 to 747 of the family's 1533-position model. The record is from RNAcentral.